Molecule: unclassified non-coding RNA, 254 nt
Filed under: uncultured Planctomycetia bacterium
Lineage: Bacteria; Pseudomonadati; Planctomycetota; Planctomycetia
Description: contains 16S-23S intergenic spacer region
Rfam family: Bacterial small subunit ribosomal RNA
Source: RNAcentral
GACGAACCGCGCGAACGUUAAUCGGAAUCACUGGGCUUAAAGCGCGUGUAGGCGGAUGGCCGCGUCGAAUGCUGAAAGCCCCCGGCUCAACCGGGGGACCGGCGUCGAAACGGGCCGUCUGGAGGGGCGUAGGGGGAGCUGGAACUCACGGUGGAGCGGUGAAAUGCGUUGAGAUCGUGAGGAACGCCCGCGGCGAAAGCGAGCUCCUGGACGCCUGCUGACGCUGAGACGCGAAAGCCAGGGGAGCGAACGGG